Molecule: ribosomal RNA, 274 nt
Filed under: uncultured bacterium
Lineage: Bacteria
Description: partial 16S ribosomal RNA
Rfam family: Bacterial small subunit ribosomal RNA
Source: RNAcentral
AUACGGAGGGUGCAAGCGUUAUUCGGAAUCACUGGGCGUAAAGGACGCGUAGGCGGGUUGGCAAGUCAGAUGUGAAAUCCUACAGCUUAACUGUAGAACUGCAUUUGAAACUGCUAACCUAGAGUAUGGGAGGGGGAGGUGGAAUUAGUGGUGUAGGGGUAAAAUCCGUAGAUAUCACUAGGAAUACCGAAAGCGAAGGCGAUCUCCUGGAACAUAACUGACGCUAAGGCGUGAAAGCGUGGGGAGCAAACAGGAUUAGAAACCCCUGUAGUCC